This 303-nucleotide ribosomal RNA is filed under the name uncultured bacterium. Its description in RNAcentral is "partial 16S ribosomal RNA". It matches the Rfam family "Bacterial small subunit ribosomal RNA", at positions 507 to 807 of the family's 1533-position model. The record is from RNAcentral.
AGCAGUAGCCACGGUAAUGCGUAGGUGGCAAGCGUUGUCCGGAUUUAUUGGGCGUAAAGCGAGCGCAGGCGGUCAAUUAAGUCUGAUGUGAAAGCCCCCGGCUCAACCGGGGAGGGUCAUUGGAAACUGGUUGACUUGAGUGCAGAAGAGGAGAGUGGAAUUCCAUGUGUAGCGGUGAAAUGCGUAGAUAUAUGGAGGAACACCAGUGGCGAAGGCGACUCUCUGGUCUGUAACUGACGCUGAGGCUCGAAAGCGUGGGUAGCAAACAGGAUUAGAUACCCGAGUAGUCCCUGUCUCUUAUAC